This is an RNA transcript of Adelges cooleyi (spruce gall adelgid), 2217 nucleotides long. RefSeq lists it as uncharacterized. NCBI's taxonomy places the organism in Eukaryota, Metazoa, Arthropoda, Insecta, Hemiptera, Adelgidae. The record is from RefSeq and is a predicted model, not a curated record. The transcript is spliced from 6 exons.
ACUUUUCAUCUUUAAAGUUAUAUUAAUUCUGUGGCCUGGGUCUUAAAGGGCCAAUCUCACGUUUUGUAACUUUCGGAAAAUGAGCUUUAAAGUUUUUAUUCUCCUCUAGGCUCUAUGAGUGUCAUUUUUAUCACAAUAGGUAUAUAAAGGAUGUUUUAAUUUUUGUGUUUAGCUAUUUAGACUAACUCGUUUAAGCCUAAAAUUGACACUGGCCCUUUAGACCCAAGCCACAAAAUUGUAAGUUUUUUUUUAUUUUUAUUUUAAAUAAUAUUUACGAACUGUACAUACAAUAAGAAAACAUGUUAAGGCAUUCUUCUAAAAUUCUGUAAAUAAAUGACAUGGGAGAUUACGAGUAGGGAACCUAUCGAGUGAUAGGAACCUUAAAACAGGUUUGGCUAGAAAUCAAGAAGUAGCAUUGCAAUUUAGAAGAUCACAACACCAACGUCUUUUAAGACAGCGAGGGGGUCGUCUGGAAUAGUGGCUGUGUGCUGGCAAGAAUUAUUUCGAACGUCUUCAUCGAAUGCCAAACUAUGUUCUUGCGAAUAAUAGUUUACCAGAUCAACCUCAAAAUGAAUCAUUGUGUUUGCUGAUAUACGAGGUGGGCAACCUAAUUCUUUGUAAGCCAAGUCAGGAUGAAUUAAAAAUCUAGCGUGUUCAAUCCGCCCGUGUACAAUUUAUAGAUUUUAAUUUAAUAAUCAGAAAUUGAUCAAUUGGUUAAUUUUCGUGCAUGUUUUGUAAUACAUAUAUAUAUUUAUUUUUAUAACCUAUGAUUUGUUUUAAAACAAAAAAGUGCUUUAGGGGAUUGAAAGCGGACGGUUUUUAAUGGGUUUUAUAAAAGGCAAUAUUUAAGAAAAAAGCGACUUUUCGACCAUUCAAUCUAGUUUCCGGUUACUUUGUCUAAGCUAGGGGAAUCAUUUUUAAUUUUUACAAUUUAUUAAUCGAGUAAAGGCCAUUUUGUGCCUAUAAGAAAUUAAUUAAGACCUAAAAUCUUGACAAAAUUAUGCCUACUUAGAAUGAUUGGAUUUUAAUUCUGUAAAAAUAUUUGAGCUCUUCAGCUUUUUUUCUAGGUUACAGUGUAAGUCAGAUUAAUAAAACAAUAUAUAGAAUACUAAAAACUUAAGAAAUUAAAAUAGGAUUUAAACACAUUUUUAAUUGAAAUAUAAAAAAAUUAUUCACAAAAUAACCUUGAAAAAAGGCCGAUAAACUUGAAUUUUUUUUAUAUAGAACUGAAAUCAGAUAUUCUACGUAGGCGUAAUUUUGUCAGGCUUUUAAGUCUAGAACGUUGAAAAAACCAGUCCGCUUUCAAUCCUCUUAAAGGCUGAAAAUAGUUUAUAACAUUAAACUCUUCUUAACACAAUAUUGUAAUUUUUUUUUAAUUAUAUAAAGAACUUAUUAGGAAUGAUAGUUGUGAAGUGACCGGAUGGAUUACAUAACCAUGAUCCAGACAUGGAUAUAUUUGCUCGCUGUACGUACAAGAAGACUAACCCUUAAUCGAUGUGCUACGGAAAUGACGACCCUUAAAGUCAUUUAUGAUGAAGAGAUAGCACAAUUAAACCACGUUAACAAUCAAUUGGCGUACACCAGCUUCUUGAGAACAAUGGAACGGGCCAGGGCCGAGGCUCAGCCAUCGAUACCCCAGACUCUCUUGGGAUAUGCGGGCAAUUUGUCCGACCCAAGGUACCGCCAUUUGUUUUUAACAGCCAAUCACCAAGAGUUGUACAGGGGCUAUUUGUAUAGAUGGCAGUGUAGAAGUUGGUGAACCAGUAAUUUUCAUUUCACCUUCGAUGAUAAAACAACAUUAAAACUUAAAUGCGAAACCGCACUGACCAAUGAGAUCGACUCUGCCAGCUGCCAACCUGCAACGCUGUUGGUUUCACGUGGUUCAAGCACUCGAGAAAAAUGCUAAAGAGUUUGGCAUGCGGUGACGUGAAAAUCGAAACGACUUGGCGUUGCCUAAUAUAUUCCGCAUUUCGAAGGCUCUGGCCCUUUUACCGGUCGAACACGUAGUCGAGGGUUUCAAUCUGAUUAAAGAAGAAAGUUUGAUGGCGGUAAAUCCAAACAUUGCUCGUCGCUACGUUGAGUACUUCGAGAGCCAAUCAAUGAACCGAGUUGGUGUAGAGAAUUUUAGCGUCCACGGGCAAGCCAGGCGCACAAAUAAUGACCAUGGGGUGUUUCAUAGAGUGUUAAACUUAACCAACACAUUAUUUAAACUUAACC